CAGUGUGUGUAUGUGUGUGUGUGUGUGUGUGUGUGUGUGAGACAGACUGUGUGUGUGUGUGACAGACAGUGUGUGUGUGUGUGUGUGUGUGUGACAGACAGACAGACUGUGUGUGUGUGUGUGUGUGUGUGUGUCCAUCCAUGCACAUGUCUGUGUGUGUCCGUCCGUCCGGUAGAUCUUUUGCACUGAUCUAGGAAUAUUCUUAUUUCUUGCCGGUUUAGGGUACUGCUGUCUGCCAGGCACUGGGCUGGAUCUUAGAAGCAGGGCCAAUGUGCCUUUAAUCAGAACUCGUGCACUCAUUAAUAUACAACAACCUGGCUCCAAGGGGAUCAUCCCUUCAGCUGAAUAGUUAUACAGUUUAAUUUGAUGGUUGUGGCGGCGUGUCAGUGCAAAGGGCAGUCUCUCUAGUUUUGUAGGGCACGGGCAGUCUAUCCCCCUUGCUUGAAUGUACCAGGUAAAACAAGCACGGGGUUGUUCUGAGACUGGCCUGUUCUGUGGGGCUCCGUCCCUGAACUCGCAAAUCUUCACACCGCAGCCCCUAGCAAGCCCUGGAUAGUGGAACGCAAGUUCUAGUUCGGGUUACGAGGCACCAGGCAGAAGGUCAGAAUAACAUACCUCAUUCACGCGCCGGCGAGGGUCUACGUAGCUCAGCUGGGCAGACUACAAGUGGACGUGGCAAGGCGUGUUGCUUAACAUAUGCAAAGUGUGGGCCCGAUUCUGAUCUCAUUGACACCCGGGUAGAUCCCCGGGCUUCCUUGAAACGACGCAGGACUUGCACCCGUGUGACUGAGUGCAGAAUCUGGCCCUGGCCCUUGCAUCUGAAAGCAAAGCUUUCUGUUACGUUGGCGUGGCUGAACCUCCUGCUAGCAACGACCAUCCUGCAGAAAAGGGAGGUUUACGGCCUGGCCGAAAGUCAGAAGCUGCCUCUGGAGCGGUGACCCGGGGCUGCAGACAGUAUUGCUCAGUGAGUGAGCGCCCUGGCCUUUUGCUCCCCGAGACAUGGCUGGAAAUUCUUGUGUAGGGAAAUGAUACAGUGUGCCUGGGUCCUGGUUG
RNAcentral lists this long non-coding RNA (1053 nucleotides) under Chrysemys picta bellii (western painted turtle). RNAcentral describes it as "lncRNA (ENSCPBG00000000791.1)". Lineage: Eukaryota; Metazoa; Chordata; Testudines; Emydidae. The record is from RNAcentral.